UACGUAGGGGGCAAGCGUUAUCCGGAUUUACUGGGUGUAAAGGGAGCGUAGACGGUAGAGCAAGUCUGAAGUGAAAUGCCAGUGCUCAACACUGGAACUGCUUUGGAAACUGUUUGGCUGGAGUGCAGGAGAGGUAAGUGGAAUUCCUAGUGUAGCGGUGAAAUGCGUAGAUAUUAGGAGGAACACCAGUGGCGAAGGCGGCUUACUGGACUGUAACUGACGUUGAGGCUCGAAAGCGUGGGGAGCAAACAGG
RNAcentral lists this ribosomal RNA (253 nucleotides) under uncultured bacterium. RNAcentral's name for it is "partial 16S ribosomal RNA". It matches the Rfam family "Bacterial small subunit ribosomal RNA", at positions 524 to 776 of the family's 1533-position model. The record is from RNAcentral.